CAGUCGCCACGGGAAUACGGAAGGUCCGGGUGUUAUCCGGAUUUAUUGGGUUUAAAGGGAGCGUAGGCCGCAGGUUAAGUGUGUUGUGAAAAGCAGUCGCCCAACGUCUGCCUUGCAGCGCAAACUGUCCUGCUUGAGUGCGCACAACGCAGGCGGAAUUCGUCGUGUAGCGGUGAAAUGCUUAGAUAUGACGAAGAACUCCGAUUGCGAAGGCAGCUGUCUGGGUCUUUAUCGACGCUCAAGCACGAAAGCGUGGGGAGCAAACAGGAUUAGAUACCCCUGUAGUCCCUGUCUCUUAUAA
RNAcentral lists this ribosomal RNA (301 nucleotides) under uncultured bacterium. RNAcentral describes it as "partial 16S ribosomal RNA". It matches the Rfam family "Bacterial small subunit ribosomal RNA", at positions 509 to 809 of the family's 1533-position model. The record is from RNAcentral.